RNAcentral lists this ribosomal RNA (254 nucleotides) under uncultured bacterium. Its description in RNAcentral is "partial 16S ribosomal RNA". It matches the Rfam family "Bacterial small subunit ribosomal RNA", at positions 524 to 776 of the family's 1533-position model. The record is from RNAcentral.
UACGAAGGGGGCUAGCGUUGUUCGGAAUCACUGGGCGUAAAGCGCACGUAGGCGGAUCCUUAAGUCAGGGGUGAAAUGCCGAGGCUCAACCUCGGAACUGCCUUUGAUACUGGGGAUCUCGAGUCCGGGAGAGGUGAGUGGAAUUGCGAGUGUAGAGGUGAAAUUCGUAGAUAUUCGCAAGAACACCAGUGGCGAAGGCGGACUCACUGGCCCGGUACUGACGCUGAGGUGCGAAAGCGUGGGGAGCAAACAGG